CAAUGGGCUAACGGUCUUUCUCCUAUUAUUUCCAUUCUAUCUAAUAUAGAUAUUAUAUUUUCUAAAUCUUUUGGACUGUUUAUUAUUCCUAUUUUAUCCAUUCCUUUUCUAAAAUUAUAGAACUGAGUUUCUAUACUUAUUAGGGUAUAGUCUUUUUCUAUAUCUGUUAAGCAUUCUUGUCCUUCUGCAUUAAACAGAGUAUAAUUUCUAACUUCUUCUAGGUUUUCUUUUAUAUUUUUGUUUUCUUUUGACAGGUUGCUAUUUUGGCAUUGAUUGUUUUGGCAAUUGUCGCAACAUGGUUCUGGAAGCAAU
RNAcentral lists this long non-coding RNA (312 nucleotides) under Capsicum annuum. RNAcentral describes it as "long non-coding RNA (CANN_LNC017821)". The record is from RNAcentral. Lineage: Eukaryota; Viridiplantae; Streptophyta; Magnoliopsida; Solanales; Solanaceae.